This is a non-coding RNA of Cajanus cajan (pigeon pea), 89 nucleotides long. The record is from Rfam. Lineage: Eukaryota; Viridiplantae; Streptophyta; Magnoliopsida; Fabales; Fabaceae.
GGCCUAUUAGCUCAGUUGGUUAGAGCGUGGUGCUAAUAACGCCAAGGUCGCAAACGCGAAGGUCGCAGGUUCGAGACCUGCAUGGGCCA